GUCCCCAUCGUCUAGCGGCCUAGGACACCACCCUUUCACGGUGGAUACACCGGUUCAAAUCCGGUUGGGGACGCCA
RNAcentral lists this transfer RNA (76 nucleotides) under Bdellovibrio sp. RNAcentral's name for it is "tRNA-Glu". It matches the Rfam family "tRNA". Rfam says of the family: Transfer RNA (tRNA) molecules are approximately 80 nucleotides in length. Lineage: Bacteria; Pseudomonadati; Bdellovibrionota; Bdellovibrionia; Bdellovibrionales; Pseudobdellovibrionaceae. The record is from RNAcentral.